This 118-nucleotide small nuclear RNA is filed under the name Gossypium hirsutum (cotton). RNAcentral describes it as "U5 spliceosomal RNA". It matches the Rfam family "U5 spliceosomal RNA". Rfam says of the family: U5 RNA is a component of both types of known spliceosome. The precise function of this molecule is unknown, though it is known that the 5' loop is required for splice site selection and p220 binding, and that both the 3' stem-loop and the Sm site are important for Sm protein binding and cap methylation. The record is from Rfam by way of RNAcentral. Lineage: Eukaryota; Viridiplantae; Streptophyta; Magnoliopsida; Malvales; Malvaceae.
GGCUAUGCGGUGAGCAUAGAGCGAACUAUUCUUUCGCCUUUUACUAAAAAAUACCGUGUGCUCGUCGCUUAUGGCAGCGUACGCCUGUUUUUGGAGGCCAAAUUCCUUUACAGGAAUG